GGCUGUGGCUCAGUGGUGGAGCACUCGCCUACCAUGUGUGAGGCCCUGGGUUCAAUCCUCAGCACCA
RNAcentral lists this transfer RNA (67 nucleotides) under Marmota monax (woodchuck). RNAcentral's name for it is "tRNA.Gly". It matches the Rfam family "tRNA", at positions 6 to 65 of the family's 71-position model. Rfam says of the family: Transfer RNA (tRNA) molecules are approximately 80 nucleotides in length. Their secondary structure includes four short double-helical elements and three loops (D, anti-codon, and T loops). Lineage: Eukaryota; Metazoa; Chordata; Mammalia; Rodentia; Sciuridae. The record is from RNAcentral.